GAUUGACCACCCUGGCCCGCGGCUUAUCGGUCGUGAGUGCUGGUGUGAGUCUGUCAUCCUUCUAGAGAGCCAUGCCUGCUGUUCACUCAGCUGGGCGUGUGCGAUCUAGAUCAUUUACUUUGAAAAAAUUAGAGUGUUUAAAGCAGGCUUAUGCUGUGAAUACAUUAGCAUGGAAUAAUAAUAUAGGACUUCGGUUCUAUUUUGUUGGUUUCUAGGACUGAAGUA
Molecule: ribosomal RNA, 225 nt
Filed under: uncultured fungus
Lineage: Eukaryota; Fungi
Description: partial small subunit ribosomal RNA
Rfam family: Eukaryotic small subunit ribosomal RNA (bases 98-225)
Source: RNAcentral